ACCCGCUGAACUUAAGCAUAUCAAUAGGCGGAGGAAAAGAAAAUAACAAUGAUUCCCCUAGUAACGGCGAGUGAAGUGGGAAAAGCUCAAAGUUGGAACCUGGUGGGCAUAGCUCACCCGGAUUGUAAACUAAAGUUUUUGAGUCGCUUAGUCAGCCAGGUAAAUAAGUCCUCUGGAAAGGGGCGACAUAGAGGGUGAAAUCCCCGUCUUUGGCCUGAGUUUUGGUUAGGCGUUUGGCUUGGAAACGAAGAGUCAGGUUGUUUGGGAAUGCAGCCUAAAAUGGGAGGUAAAUCUCUCCUAAAGCUAAAUAUUGACGAAAGACCGAUAGCGAACAAGUACCGUGAGGGAAAGAUGAAAAGCACUUUGAAAAGAGGGUCAAAAAGUACGUGAAAUUGCCGAAAGGGAACCGUAUGAAAUCAGACCUACUGGUAGGUAAUCAAUCUUUCCCUUGGGAAGGAUGCACUUGCCUGCUAUGUAUGCCAGCGACAUUUUGGUUGGGAGGAAAAAAAUAGAGGGAAUGUAGCCUAGGCUUCGGUUUAGGUGUUAUAGACUUUUAUAAAAUACUCUCGGCUGGAAUGAGGAACGCAGCAAACCGUAAGGCGAAGAUUCUAGUCGCUUGGGGGGAAUAAUUAGAGAAUUUCUGCUUCGGGUGGUGCUUUGAUUAUUACUUUCAACUCGGUUGGAGUUCUUUUAAUUUGCUUAGGUUGUUGGCUUAAUGAUUUUAUAUGACCCGUCUUGAAACACGGACC
This 749-nucleotide ribosomal RNA is filed under the name uncultured zygomycete. Its description in RNAcentral is "eukaryotic LSU rRNA". It matches the Rfam family "Eukaryotic large subunit ribosomal RNA", at positions 23 to 667 of the family's 3401-position model. The record is from RNAcentral. Lineage: Eukaryota; Fungi.